Molecule: unclassified non-coding RNA, 148 nt
Organism: Pongo abelii (Sumatran orangutan)
Lineage: Eukaryota; Metazoa; Chordata; Mammalia; Primates; Hominidae
Rfam family: Metazoan signal recognition particle RNA
About the family: The signal recognition particle (SRP) is a universally conserved ribonucleoprotein. It is involved in the co-translational targeting of proteins to membranes.
Source: Ensembl
GCCGGGCAUGGUGGUGUGUGCCUGUAGUCCCAAUUACUCGGGAGGCUGAGGUGGGAGGAUCGCCUGAGCCCAGGAGGUCCUGGCUGCAGUGAGCUAUGAUCACACCACAGCACUCCAGCCUGGGUGACAGAGUGAGACCCUGUCUCUU